UGGCUCAGGAUGAACGUUAGCGGGAGGCUUAAUCAUGCAAGUCGAGCGGUAAGUUUUUAUAGCAAUAUGAAGACCUAGAGCGGCGCACGGGUGAGUAACGCGUACACGACCUGGCCUAAACUGGGGGAUAGCCUUGGGAAACUGAGAGUAAUCCCCACAUGUGAUUAUGUUACUGAUGGUGAUAUAAUUAAAGCUUCGGCGGUUUAGGAUGGGUGUGCGUCUGAUUAACUAGUUGGUAGUGUAACGGACUACCAAGGCGAUGAUCAGUAGGGGGCGUGAGAGCGUGACCCCCCCACACGGGUACUGAGACACGGACCCGACUCCUACGGGAGGCAGCAGUAAGGAAUAUUGGUCAACUGCCCCGGAAGGGUGAACCAGCCAUCCCGCGUGAAGGAUGAACGGGGCUCUGCCCUUGUAAACUUCUUUUGUAUGGGGCGAAAAAAGGGGAUUUAUCCUCGACUGACGGUACCAUAAGAAUAAGCACCGGCUAACUCCGUG
This 498-nucleotide ribosomal RNA is filed under the name uncultured bacterium. Its description in RNAcentral is "bacterial SSU rRNA". It matches the Rfam family "Bacterial small subunit ribosomal RNA", at positions 20 to 507 of the family's 1533-position model. The record is from RNAcentral.